Molecule: long non-coding RNA, 207 nt
Filed under: Lathyrus oleraceus (garden pea)
Lineage: Eukaryota; Viridiplantae; Streptophyta; Magnoliopsida; Fabales; Fabaceae
Description: Pisum sativum (pea) long non-coding RNA (PSAT_LNC027704)
Source: RNAcentral
UAAAAAUAAAAAAUGAAUAUAACUUUGUGACAGUUGUUUAACAUCCAUAGGUAAAACAAUCCCCUAUUAAUACAAACCUCUGUUUAUAGACCUUUUUUUCUUGCAGUGAUUCAGAGGUAUAAGAGAAAAAACUCAUAAAGUAAAACUGGUUUACUGCAUCAUAGACACAACUAAAUUUUGUUUGUACUUUCCAAACAUACAAUUUAC